AUUGAACGCUGGCGGCAUGCCUUACACAUGCAAGUCGAACGGCAGCACGGGUGCUUGCACCUGGUGGCGAGUGGCGAACGGGUGAGUAAUACAUCGGAACAUGUCCUGUAGUGGGGGAUAGCCCGGCGAAAGCCGGAUUAAUACCGCAUACGAUCUACGGAUGAAAGCGGGGGACCUUCGGGCCUCGCGCUAUAGGGUUGGCCGAUGGCUGAUUAGCUAGUUGGUGGGGUAAAGGCCUACCAAGGCGACGAUCAGUAGCUGGUCUGAGAGGACGACCAGCCACACUGGGACUGAGACACGGCCCAGACUCCUACGGGAGGCAGCAGUGGGGAAUUUUGGACAAUGGGCGAAAGCCUGAUCCAGCAAUGCCGCGUGUGUGAAGAAGGCCUUCGGGUUGUAAAGCACUUUUGUCCGGAAAGAAAUCCUUGGCUCUAAUACAGUCGGGGGAUGACGGUACCGGAAGAAUAAGCACCGGCUAACAACGUG
Molecule: ribosomal RNA, 486 nt
Filed under: uncultured bacterium
Lineage: Bacteria
Description: partial 16S ribosomal RNA
Rfam family: Bacterial small subunit ribosomal RNA
Source: RNAcentral